This 229-nucleotide long non-coding RNA is filed under the name Capsella rubella. RNAcentral's name for it is "long non-coding RNA (CRUB_LNC001616)". Lineage: Eukaryota; Viridiplantae; Streptophyta; Magnoliopsida; Brassicales; Brassicaceae. The record is from RNAcentral.
ACUUUUUGAUUUCAUCUUUUGGGUACUUGCUGUAAUUCAAGCGAUGAUUAGUGUGUUUUUUCUAUCCUCUCUAAAUUUCUCCUCUCUCUUCGUUUUCUUGUCUUCUUCUAUCUCUUCGUCUUCUUGUUUUCUUCUAUCCCUUCGUUUUUGUCCUCUAUGAAUUCUUUUAUUCUCUCUGAAAUUCUUCUAUCUCUCUCUACCCGUCGAUUUUACAUGACUUCCAUCGCCG